This 468-nucleotide ribosomal RNA is filed under the name uncultured bacterium. RNAcentral's name for it is "partial 16S ribosomal RNA". It matches the Rfam family "Bacterial small subunit ribosomal RNA", at positions 28 to 507 of the family's 1533-position model. The record is from RNAcentral.
GACGAACGCUGGCGGCGUGCUUAACACAUGCAAGUCGAACGGAAAGGCCCUGCUUUUGUGGGGUGCUCGAGUGGCGAACGGGUGAGUAACACGUGAGUAACCUGCCCUUGACUUUGGGAUAACUUCAGGAAACUGGGGCUAAUACCGGAUAGGAGCUCCUGCUGCAUGGUGGGGGUUGGAAAGUUUCGGCGGUGGGGGAUGGACUCGCGGCUUAUCAGCUUGUUGGUGGGGUAGUGGCUUACCAAGGCUUUGAAGGGUAGCCGGCCUGAGAGGGUGACCGGCCACAUUGGGACUGAGAUACGGCCCAGACUCCUACGGGAGGCAGCAGUGGGGAAUAUUGCACAAUGGGCGGAAGCCUGAUGCAGCAACGCCGCGUGCGGGAUGACGGCCUUCGGGUUGUAAACCGCUUUCGCCUGUGACGAAGCGUGAGUGACGGUAAUGGGUAAAGAAGCACCGGCUAACUACGUG